Molecule: long non-coding RNA, 290 nt
Filed under: Brassica napus (rape)
Lineage: Eukaryota; Viridiplantae; Streptophyta; Magnoliopsida; Brassicales; Brassicaceae
Description: long non-coding RNA (BNAP_LNC009221)
Source: RNAcentral
CCAUUUAUAAAAGUACUACGUCAGAUAGAACAAACAUAAUAUAUUCAUACGAAAUAGAAUCAUAAACUCUAAACCUAACCUGCGCACCUAAAUACUAAACCAUAAACUCGAGUCUCUAAACCCAAACCCAAAUGUUAAAUUUAAUUUAAAGUUAUAAUAUUUCAAAGAAAACAACAAAAAAUAAUAAAUAUAUAAAUUUUGAACUAUUAUUCUAUACUAUCUAACAUGGAAUGAAUACUACUCUUGUAAUUCAACCCCAACCCACUUCCAACCCUAAACCCAAAACACUU